GACGAACGCUGGCGGCGUGCUUAACACAUGCAAGUCGAACGAAGAGCGCUGGUCGCUUGCUUCUCUGAAUCUUAGUGGCGAGCGAGCGAGUAACGCGUAAUCAACCUGCCCUCCAGAGGGGGACAAAAGUUGGAUACUACUGCUAAUACAGCAUACGAUCUACUCUCGGUAUGGAGGCUAGAUGAAAGGUGGCCGCUACAUGUAAGCUAUAACUGGAGGAGGGGACAGCGUCUGAUUAGCUAGAUGGUGGGGUACAGGCCCACUCAGACGAUGAACAGUAGCCGGCCAGAGAGGAUGAACUGCCAAGCUGGGACUGGAACACGGCCCAGAAUCCUACGGGAGGCAGCCGGGGGGGAUCUUCCGGAAAGGAAGAAAGGCUGAAUGAGGAACGCCGCGUGAGAGAUGGCUGCCGUCGGGUUGUAAAACUGUUUUAGUCCGGACGAAAGGCAUUCUCGCUAAUAGUGGGAGGGAAUGACGGUACCGGAAGAAUAAGCCCCGGCUAACUACGUG
RNAcentral lists this ribosomal RNA (510 nucleotides) under uncultured bacterium. RNAcentral's name for it is "partial 16S ribosomal RNA". It matches the Rfam family "Bacterial small subunit ribosomal RNA", at positions 28 to 507 of the family's 1533-position model. The record is from RNAcentral.